UCCACAGGGCAGCGCGCCGGCUAACGGCCGGGGGGAUCCGUUGGAAAGCGGGUUCUACGGAAAGUGCCACAGAAAAUAUACCGCCUCCGGCGCAAGCCUUGGGGUAAGGGUGAAAAGGUGCGGUAAGAGCGCACCGCGGCUCGAUCAAUCGGGCCGGCAGGGAAAACCCCGCGCGGA
RNAcentral lists this RNase P RNA (177 nucleotides) under Bryobacterales bacterium. Its description in RNAcentral is "RNase P RNA component class A". It matches the Rfam family "Bacterial RNase P class A", at positions 58 to 221 of the family's 367-position model. Rfam says of the family: Ribonuclease P (RNase P) is a ubiquitous endoribonuclease, found in archaea, bacteria and eukarya as well as chloroplasts and mitochondria. Its best characterised activity is the generation of mature 5'-ends of tRNAs by cleaving the 5'-leader elements of precursor-tRNAs. Lineage: Bacteria; Pseudomonadati; Acidobacteriota; Terriglobia; Bryobacterales. The record is from RNAcentral.